Molecule: small nuclear RNA, 161 nt
Organism: Gossypium arboreum
Lineage: Eukaryota; Viridiplantae; Streptophyta; Magnoliopsida; Malvales; Malvaceae
Rfam family: U1 spliceosomal RNA
About the family: U1 is a small nuclear RNA (snRNA) component of the spliceosome (involved in pre-mRNA splicing). Its 5' end forms complementary base pairs with the 5' splice junction, thus defining the 5' donor site of an intron.
Source: Rfam
AUACUUACCUGGACGGGGUCAAUGGGUGAUCAGGAAGACUCAUGGCCUAGAGCAGUGACCUGCAUUGCACUUGGUAGGGGUGCUGCUUUAAGGUCUCCUCAAGAGGGAGAGCCUACGUCAUAAUUUGUGGCAGUGGGGGCUUGCGUUCGCGCAGCCCCUAU